RNAcentral lists this ribosomal RNA (3174 nucleotides) under Telmatopelopia nemorum. RNAcentral describes it as "eukaryotic LSU rRNA". It matches the Rfam family "Eukaryotic large subunit ribosomal RNA". Lineage: Eukaryota; Metazoa; Arthropoda; Insecta; Diptera; Chironomidae. The record is from RNAcentral.
GUUGAGUACGUUUUUGGAGUGGUGAGCAAAAUCGUUGGAAAACGAUACCAUAGAGGGUGAUAGUCCCGUGUGCUUUACUGUGAAGAAGACAAUUGAUAUCGAAGAGUCGGAUUGUUUGGGAAUGCAAUCCAAAGUGGGUGGUAGAAUCCAUCUAAGGCUACAUAUAGGCAAGAGACCGAUAGCAAACAAGUACCGUGAGGGAAAGAUGAAAAGUAGUCCGAAGGGACAGUUAAAAGGGCGUGAAAGAGCCAAGGGGAAAGCGUUUGUUUUUUUAGUUGCGAUUGAAUGUUUCAGUUUCACGAUUGAGAACAUCAAUUAGCAAGUCCAUAUCGAUUAUUUAUAAGUCUUAAAAGGUUAGUAGGAUGACUUUGAAUUCAAAACUCAAAGUACCUGCUUUCAAUCAGGACGAAGAAUGAUCGAGGAAAGCCAGGUGAAGCCCUUUUUCCAAAGCGUAGUGGCGGAUGUUGAAUUGUGUUAGCAUGGAACUAUCUUAUGGGUAGGGAAAUGUGGGCGCUUUAUAAUUGAAGCUCUGCGCCGCGGCGGAAGUAGUGCCCACGUUGAAGGAAAUGGACCAAAAGAAAUAAACGACCCGUCUUGGAACACGGACCAAGGAGUGCAUCAUUCAUGCAAGUCGAAGAGAGUUAAACUCCUAGGCGAAAUGAAAGUGAAAGUGUACUAUCAGUACCACCCACGUAACAGUGCGGCAGAGCGUGAAUGGUGCGACCCGAAAGAUGGUGAACUAUGCUUGCCUCGGGCGAAGUCAGCGGAAACACUGAUGGAGGCUCGUAACGGUUCUGACGUGCAAAUCGAUCGUAGGAGGUGAGUAUAGGGGCGAAAGACUAAUCGAACCAUCUAGUAGCUGGUUUCCGUUGAAGUUUCCCUCAGGAUAGCUAGGGCAAUAGAGUAGUUUUAGUAGGUAAAGCGAAUGAUUAGAGGGUUGGGUGUGUGAAAGCAGUCACCCUAUUCUCAAACUUUAAAUGACUAAGAUAAUUGUGGCUACCUCGCGGAGCCCAAUUAGCGAAUACUACGCCCUAAGUGGGCCAGUUUUGGUAAGCAGAAAUGGCGAAGUGGGAUGAACCAAGCGAUAGGAUAAGGGGCCAAAGAAUAGGCACAUAUAGAUACCAUAAAAGGCGUUGUUUUGUUAAGACAGCAGGACGGUGGACAUGGAAGUUGUAAUCCGCUAAGGAGUGUGUAACAACUCACCUGCCGAAUGGAGCAGCCCAGAAAAUGGAUGGCGCUAAAGCCUAUCCCCGAAACCUAUCCUUCAAUGCAAAAGAUAGAAAAUAGCGUUGGAGAGUAAACGGACGUGGAGGUUGUAUAGAAGUUUUCGUGUGAACGGGAAUGGAACAUCCUCUAGUGCAGAUCUUGGUGGAAGUAGCAAAUAUUCAAAUAGAAACGUUGAAGACUAAAGUGGAUAAGGGUUCCGCAAUCACAGUGUUUGGAUGCGGGUAAGUCGGUCCUAAGACAUACGGGAAACCAUAUUUAAAGAAGGGUAAAUGGUUGUUUAAGGCCCAGUAUAUCAAUUGUUUCGGCAAAUGAGAUAUGAAGUCUAGAAUGGCUAGACCCUUGAUGGUCGAAAGGGAAGUUGGUUAAGAAUCCAACACGGACGAUGGCGCAGAGAGGAGGCCUUCUGGCAUUAAAAAUUCUUCGGAAUAACCUUUCAAUGAUGGUGACAUAAACGAACUUCACGACGGCGGGCCCAAAACACGGAAGAGACAUCUUCUCUUGUUAACAGACAAUCAGUUACGGAAACAAGUUAAUUGGCGAAGUAACAGACAGUCUGGAAGAGCCGAUUUUCGGAUCGAUCGUGUACUAGGGCACGCCCCUUGAAAAGUGAAGGGAGCAGCGUCCAUGUUCGCCGUACCCAUAACCGCAUCAGGUCUCCAAGGUUAGCAGCCUCUAGUUGAUAGAAUAACGUAAAUAAGGGAAAUCGGCAAAAUAGAUCCGUAUCUUUGGGAAAAGGAUUGGCUCUAUGGGUUGGUCUUUAACAAUAGUUUUAGACAAUAUCAACCAACAUAGAACUGGAACGGACAAGAGGAAUCUGACUGUCUAAUUAAAACAUAGCUUUGCGAUGGUCCCAACGGAUGAAGACGCAAAGUGAAUUCUGCCCAGUGCUCAGUAAGUCAAGUUGAUGAAAAUCAGGCAAGCACGGGUAAACGGCGGGAGUAACUAUGACUCUCUUAAGGUAGCCAAAUGCCUCGUCAUCUAAUUAGUGACGCGCAUGAAUGGAUCAACGAGAUUCCUACUGUCCCUAUUUACAAUCUAGCGAAACCACAGCCAAGGGAACGGGCUUGGAACGAUCAGCGGGGAAAGAAGACCCUGUUGAGCUUGACUCUAGUUUGGUGUUGUGAAAAAGUGUGAGGGGUGUAGGAUAGGUGGGAGGUCUAAUCUUUCGGGAAAGGGCCGACAGUGAAAUACCACUACCAUCAAUGCUUUUUUACUUAUUUGAUUAAGUGGGAAUGAGGUGGCGUUAUUUGAAUGAGUGGUCUUCGGAUUGUUCAGGAAAACAUCGCAAAACACUUCAUAUUAAAGAAUUAAUCCUACGUCAAAGACAGGGCCAGAUGGGGAGUUUGGCUGGGGCGGCACAUCUGUUAAAGAAUAACGCAGGUGUCCAAAGGGCAACUCAGUGAGAACAGAAAUCUCACGUAGAACAAAAGGGUAAAAGUUGCCUUGAUUUAAAUUUUCAGUAUGAAUGUAAACCAUGAAAGUGUGGCCUAUCGAUCCUUCAGCUCUCGGAUUCUGAGACAGGAGGUGACAGAAAAGUUACCACAGGGAUAACUGGCUUGUGGCAUCCAAGCGAUUCAUAGCGACGAAGCCUUUUGAUCCUUCGAUGUCGGCUCUUCCUAUCAUGAUGAAGCAGAGUUCAUCAAGUGUUGGAUUGUUCACCCAUAAAAAGGGAACGUGAGCUGGGUUUAGACCGUCGCGAGACAGGUUAGUUUUACCCUACUGAUCAACUGUUUUCGCAACAGUAAUGCAGCUAGGUACGAAAGGACCAGUUGUAUCAUGUCACUGUUAAGUGCGGUUGGCUGAAACGCCAGUGCCGCGAAGAUACACAUGACCGGAUAAUGGCUGAACGCCUCUAAGCCAGAAACCGAUCUGGAAGCGAAGACACUACUCGCUAAAAGGACCAAAAUACCAAUUGGAAGAGCCAGCAAGCGCGACAUUGACUAUUGU